Molecule: ribosomal RNA, 982 nt
Filed under: Squamanita aff. umbonata
Lineage: Eukaryota; Fungi; Basidiomycota; Agaricomycetes; Agaricales; Squamanitaceae
Description: partial large subunit ribosomal RNA
Rfam family: Eukaryotic large subunit ribosomal RNA
Source: RNAcentral
CCAGUGUCUGAGGCUCGCUGCAGACCUGAAGCUUGAUAUCGAAUUCGCGUGUCGCCCUUACCCGCUGAACUUAAGCAUAUCAAUAAGCGGAGGAAAAGAAACUAACAAGGAUUCCCCUAGUAACUGCGAGUGAAGCGGGAAAAGCUCAAAUUUGAAAUCUGGCAGCCAUGAGGUUGUCCGAGUUGUAAUCUAGAGAAGUGUCAUCCGCGUUGGACCAUGUACAAGUCUCCUGGAAUGGAGCAUCAUGGAGGGUGACAAUCCCGUCUUUGACAUGGACUACCAAUGCUUUGUGAUGCACUCUCGAAGAGUCGAGUUGUUUGGGAAUGCAGCUCCAAAUGGGUGGUAAAUUCCAUCUAAAGCUAAAUAUUGGCGAGAGACCGAUAGCGAACAAGUACCGUGAGGGAAAGAUGAAAAGGACUUUGGAAAGAGAGUUAAACAGUACGUGAAAUUGCUGAAAGGGAAACGCUUAAAGUCAGUUGCAUUGACUGGGAAUCAGCCCUGCAUCCUGUUGGUAUGCUGGGUGUACUUUCCAGUUGAUGGGUCAGCAUCAGUUUUGAACAUUGGAUAAAGGUAUGAGGAAUGUGGCAUUUAUUUAUAAAUGUGUUAUAGCCUCAUAUUGUAUGCAAUGGUUGGGACUGAGGAACACAGCACGCCGAAAGGCCAGAGAGUUAUCUCAUGUUCGUGCUUAGGAUGGCUGGCAAAAUGGCUUUAAUCGACCCGUCUUGAAACACGGACCAAGGAGUCUAACAUGCCUGCGAGUAUUUGGGUGGAAAACCCAUAUGCGCAAUGAAAGUGAAAGUUGAGAUCCCUGCCGGGAGCAUCGACACCCAGACUUGACGUUUUCUGACAGUUCUGCGGUAGAGCAUGUAUGUUGGGACCCGAAAGAUGGUGAACUAUGCCUGAAUAGGGUGAAGCCAGAGGAAACUCUGGUGGAGGCUCGUAGCGAUUCUGACGUGCAAAUCGAUCGUCAAAUUUGGGUAUA